AGCAGCCGCGGUAAUUCCAGCUCCAAUAGCGUAUAUUAAAGUUGUUGCAGUUAAAAAGCUCGUAGUUGAAUUUUAGGCCUGACCGGACGGUCCGUCUCUGGCGAGUACUGUUCUGCUGUCGGGUCUAUCCUUCUGGUGAGCCGGUAUGCCCUUUAUUGGGUGUGUCGGGGAACCAGGACCAUUACCUUGAAAAAUUAGAGUGUUUAAAGCGGGCUUUUGCUUGAAUAGAUUAGCAUGGAAUAAUAGAAUAGGACGUUGGUUCUAUUUUGUUGGUCUAGGACCACCGUAAUGAUUAAUAGGGAUAGUUGGGGGCAUUAGUAUUCAAUUGUCAGAGGUGAAAUUCUUGGAUUUAUUGAAGACUAACUACUGCGAAAGCAUUUGCCAAGGAUGUUUUCAUUAAUCAAGAACGAAAGUUAGGGGAUCGAAGACGAUCAGAUACCGUCGUAGUCUUAACCAUAA
RNAcentral lists this ribosomal RNA (459 nucleotides) under uncultured Archaeospora. RNAcentral describes it as "SSU rRNA". It matches the Rfam family "Eukaryotic small subunit ribosomal RNA", at positions 569 to 1035 of the family's 1831-position model. Lineage: Eukaryota; Fungi; Glomeromycota; Glomeromycetes; Archaeosporales; Archaeosporaceae. The record is from RNAcentral.